UGCGUAGGUGGUUUCUUAAGUCAGAGGUGAAAGGCUACGGCUCAACCGUAGUAAGCCUUUGAAACUGGGAAACUUGAGUGCAGGAGAGGAGAGUGGAAUUCCUAGUGUAGCGGUGAAAUGCGUAGAUAUUAGGAAGAACACCAGUUGCGAAGGCGGCUCUCUGGACUGUAACUGACACUGAGGCACGAAAGCGUGGGGAGCAAACA
This 206-nucleotide ribosomal RNA is filed under the name uncultured bacterium. Its description in RNAcentral is "partial 16S ribosomal RNA". It matches the Rfam family "Bacterial small subunit ribosomal RNA", at positions 568 to 774 of the family's 1533-position model. The record is from RNAcentral.